RNAcentral lists this ribosomal RNA (683 nucleotides) under Bacillus sp. enrichment culture clone 866 ECW 25. RNAcentral's name for it is "bacterial SSU rRNA". It matches the Rfam family "Bacterial small subunit ribosomal RNA", at positions 833 to 1533 of the family's 1533-position model. The record is from RNAcentral. Lineage: Bacteria; Bacillati; Bacillota; Bacilli; Caryophanales; Bacillaceae.
CCGCCCUUCAGUGCUGCAGCUAACGCAUUAAGCACUCCGCCUGGGGAGUACGGUCGCAAGACUGAAACUCAAAGGAAUUGACGGGGGCCCGCACAAGCGGUGGAGUAUGUGGUUUAAUUCGAAGCAACGCGAAGAACCUUACCAGGUCUUGACAUCUCCUGACCGCCCUGAAGACAGGGUCUUCCCUUCGGGGACAGGAUGACAGGUGGUGCAUGGUUGUCGUCAGCUCGUGUCGUGAGAUGUUGGGUUAAGUCCCGCAACGAGCGCAACCCUUGGUUCUAGUUGCCAGCAUUCAGUUGGGCACUCUAGAGCGACUGCCGGCGACAAGUCGGAGGAAGGUGGGGAUGACGUCAAAUCAUCAUGCCCCUUAUGACCUGGGCUACACACGUGCUACAAUGGAUGGUACAAAGGGCAGCGAAGCGGCGACGCAUGAGCGAAUCCCAGAAAACCAUUCUCAGUUCGGAUUGCAGGCUGCAACUCGCCUGCAUGAAGCCGGAAUCGCUAGUAAUCGCGGAUCAGCAUGCCGCGGUGAAUACGUUCCCGGGCCUUGUACACACCGCCCGUCACACCACGAGAGUUUGUAACACCCGAAGUCGGUGAGGUAACCGCAAGGAGCCAGCCGCCGAAGGUGGGACAGAUGAUUGGGGUGAAGGCGUAACAAGGUAGAGCUCUCAGUCAGUCAA